This is a long non-coding RNA of Acinonyx jubatus (cheetah), 2930 nucleotides long. RefSeq lists it as uncharacterized. The record is from RefSeq and is a predicted model, not a curated record. Lineage: Eukaryota; Metazoa; Chordata; Mammalia; Carnivora; Felidae. The transcript is spliced from 3 exons.
CUAACAGUGCAGGGGGGCGGUGGGGGAAAGCAGGCUGUGAUAUUACCUCUGCUGUGCGAAUUAGGGGGCCUCUCUGCCCCUCUCUGGGCCUCAGGGACAACAUCACCCCCUCCGGGGGUGGGUGCAUCGAAGCCCCCCAUUCCAGCUUGGGCCUGCUAGAACUGGCCAGCUUGGGGCUGUGGAUGUAGCCGUCCCAGAGUGAAGGGAGGAAAGCGUCCCUGUCUGUUUCUUCCCUGCCCUGCCCCCAACGCAGGUGUGAAUCAGCCCAGGUGAGGAAACUGACUCACCUUCCCACCUGGGCCUGGAGAAAGGGCCACUUUCCCUUCCCCCCCGGGUUGGAAUCAAACUUGAACUUGACUGUUAACUUCCAGAAGAGAGUGACUCUGACGCGUUGGCGGCGGGUGGGGGCGGCUACAAUGCAAAGACUUGGGGAUGUCAGGUCCUUGGAGGAAGACACCAAGUGCCGGGCUCAUGGCAUCCACUUGGCAGACAUGACCUUAGAGGAUCCUCGAGCCACCUGUCGGUAAGUACCCUCAGUUAGGGAGGCCGAGGCCCAGUGUGGGGGGGUCACUCACCUAAGGUCACGCUGCCCGGGUAAGUGCCUGUGGACCGAGAUCUGACCCAAGCCUGGGAUUUUCGUUUUUGGAGGAACCUUCUUGCCCCAUCUUACACCCCCCAGCCCUACGCUGUGAGUUCGCCCCCUGCCCCGCCUUAGAGACCAGGGGAGGCUGGGAGGGGCCGAGGCAGGGGGAGCUGAGGGUUCGCACCCCCCACCUGUGUCACGGGGUCCAGGGGCCGCCAGGGAAAUGGCGGACCCCUCAUCUGCGCCCCCAUCACGGGUUAAGUCUUUCCCCCAACAUUCUGCUGUUGUUAAUCGUUAAGCGGCCUGAUGAUUAAUUAAUUACCAAGACCCACGGGGGCUUGCUUGAGUGCACCUGGUGCCGGUGACCAGGGCGCCCUCUCCCCGGCGCCCCAUUCCCCAGCCACCAGCGUGCCCAGAGAGACACAUGGGUGAGGGUCACGAGACUCAGAUGCAGACGGGGGCAGCACUGUCACCACUGGGGUCAAACCCUGCUCUGUCCUGGGCCCUGGUCACAGCACGGCCCUCGGCUGGCAGGGGACGGGGCGACAGGCAGAGCGAGAGCCGCCAGAGGAAGGAUGACAGAGCCCAAGAGGCCGGACAGGGCGAGGAGGGCUGCUGGGGCCUCCUCCUAGCCUCGCUUCCAUGAGGUCUGUUUGAAUUCCACAGGGCACACCGGGAGCGGCCCGAAUCUUUGCGUCCUCGCCGCAAGGCUCCGAGGACCAUCUGAACCAGUGUGGGUUCUGACCCCUCUACCCCUUCGCCAGCCCGAGCCUCGGUUUCCCUCAUCUGCCUGCCUGUCCUGCCUGCCUCCCAGGGUGAACCGAGCUGAAGGAUUCUCUAGUGGAAACACUGGGGGCAGCUGGUGGGUGUGGAGGAGACUUGGGGGCAGGGUUCUUGCCGAGAAGCAGUAGGACAGGGCACAGGACUCCUAACUCAGGGAGUGACUUUGGCCAAAUCCUUUCUUCUCUCUCAGCCUCAGUUUCCCCAUCUAUAAAACAAUACGGCCUCAGCGAAUGCCCAGGACCUUGGGGGGACCUCUAAUGGUCCACGUGUGACUCUGCCAUCCUUCAUUCGACGAGCCCUCGCUGAUGGACAUGAGGUCGUUUCCAGCUUUUCUCCAUCAGACACAAUGCCACGACGAACGUCUUUGCCCUGUCCCUUUGGCACCUGCUGGGUGGUUCCCAGAGCGUAGAAGUUGCCUUAGGAGAGUUACUGGGUCAAAAGCACACGUCCGCACCUUGGAGAGCGACCCACAUCGACACACACAGGGCUUCCUCACCCUUUCCCAUGGCUGAGGUGUGUGGCGUCCCACGGCUUCUUUAAGGAGACCGCGGGCGGAAGUGUAAUUUAUUUAUUUAGAAAAGCAAGGGAAGGGCUUAACGAGAGCGUCCUUCCUCGCAUCUGCGGCGGCUUUGGGUCUGGACGCCACCACGUGCCACGUGGGGGGCCUCGCGACUUGCUGCUUCUCUCCCAGCCCCAGGUUUCUUGCCCGGAAGACGGUCAUUGUAUCCGGGACGUUUUGCUAACUGGUAGCCCGCGGGCUGCCUGUACCCUGCUCCUGGAUGCGUUUUGCUCCCCCCGAGUUUUCCAAAAUCUGGAGUGUUCACGGUGAAACCCCGGCUUUGGAAAAUUCAAGUCUGGCAAGAGGCGGCUCACAGCCCUUUGGAUGGCGCAAGGGUACUCCGCUUGGCCACAGGCCCCACCAUGCCGCAGUGACCAUUUGAAUGUGCUCCUGCCUGAUCUUAUCGGCCUCGUCCUCAGGGGGCUCUCGGGCUGCUGGCGUUAAGACUUGGGCAAGCAUAAUGGGGGCUUUGUGAACUCCCCAGGGCCAGGGUCCCCAGCACCCUGCCCGGGGCCCAGCUUCACCUUCCAAAGUGUCUGGGAUUCGGUGGCCGGAGCCUUGGCUAGUGCAGACCUGGGGCCCCGAGCAGGAGGCUCCAGAGAGUCUCCCUUCCCAGAAGGGAAGAGGGAGUGCUGGCACCACGUCUGGGAAGGGCUCCGGGCUCUGAGCCAGGCAGCUGCGUCCCAAGAGGCAGUGGCUAAGUCUUCUUCCCUAGGCUGGAGCCGGAAGCUAGUCCACAGGCACCUGGAGUUUCCAUCUCCUGGUCCCCAGGAUGCGAAUUCCUGCUCACCACCCCCCACGCCUUCCUCUUCCUCACCUACAUUUGGCAGCCGCAUCCUGUAGGUUGGGCCAGGCCUAAAGGGGAGGCAGGACGUGGGUGGGUUCCCAGGGGAACCUCAGUGGCAUCCUUUCUCCAGGGCGGUGGAAAUCUCUUCUUGGCCCCCGGGGUGCCUUGAAACGCGGUUUGAAAACCACUGAUGGAGCCCUUUUGACAGAUGGCAAACA